This 80-nucleotide non-coding RNA is filed under the name uncultured Ruminococcus sp. Its description in RNAcentral is "Fluoride riboswitch". It matches the Rfam family "Fluoride riboswitch aptamer (crcB RNA motif)", at positions 10 to 61 of the family's 64-position model. The record is from RNAcentral. Lineage: Bacteria; Bacillati; Bacillota; Clostridia; Eubacteriales; Oscillospiraceae.
AUAUCGGGAAUGAUGUUCUCCCGUGGAGAGUUCUGAACAGGACUCCCAAAACCGCUUAUAAAGCUGAUGACUUCUGCGUU